CCUACGGGAGGCAGCAGUGGGGAAUUUUGGACAAUGGGGGCAACCCUGAUCCAGCCAUGCCGCGUGAGUGAAGAAGGCCUUCGGGUUGUAAAGCUCUUUCAGAUGGGAAGAAACGGACGUGGUUAAUAUCCAUGUCUAAUGACGGUACCGUCAGAAGAAGCACCGGCUAACUACGUGCCAGCAGCCGCGGUAAUACGUAGGGUGCGAGCGUUAAUCGGAAUUACUGGGCGUAAAGCGUGCGCAGGCGGUUUGUUAAGACAGAUGUGAAAUCCCCGGGCUCAACCUGGGAACUGCAUUUGUGACUGGCAGGCUAGAGUACGGCAGAGGGGGGUAGAAUUCCACGUGUAGCAGUGAAAUGCGUAGAUAUGUGGAGGAAUACCGAUGGCGAAGGCAGCCCCCUGGGUCGAUACUGACGCUCAUGCACGAAAGCGUGGGGAGCAAACAGGAUUAGAUACCCUGGUAGUCCA
RNAcentral lists this ribosomal RNA (467 nucleotides) under uncultured bacterium. Its description in RNAcentral is "bacterial SSU rRNA". It matches the Rfam family "Bacterial small subunit ribosomal RNA", at positions 338 to 797 of the family's 1533-position model. The record is from RNAcentral.